GGGUUGCUGGCGCAGUGGUAGCUCAAUCGGCAUGCGUGCGACAUGUUGAAUGCCCCGAGCCUGCAGCAUUCAACGUGUGGCGUGUCCGGGAGGUGAUAGGUUCGAAUCCUGUGCAAUCCA
This is a non-coding RNA of Lasiosphaeria miniovina, 120 nucleotides long. Lineage: Eukaryota; Fungi; Ascomycota; Sordariomycetes; Sordariales; Lasiosphaeriaceae. The record is from the annotation of a RefSeq genome assembly.